Molecule: ribosomal RNA, 253 nt
Filed under: uncultured bacterium
Lineage: Bacteria
Description: partial 16S ribosomal RNA
Rfam family: Bacterial small subunit ribosomal RNA
Source: RNAcentral
UACGUAGGGUGCAAGCGUUAAUCGGAAUUACUGGGCGUAAAGCGUGCGCAGGCGGUUUUGUAAGUCUGUCGUGAAAUCCCCGGGCUCAACCUGGGAAUUGCGAUGGAGACUGCAAGGCUAGAAUCUGGCAGAGGGGGGUAGAAUUCCACGUGUAGCAGUGAAAUGCGUAGAGAUGUGGAGGAAUACCGAUGGCGAAGGCAGCCCCCUGGGAUAACACUGACGCUCAUGCACGAAAGCGUGGGGAGCGAACAGG